Molecule: transfer RNA, 64 nt
Filed under: Curculionoidea sp. 18 KM-2017
Lineage: Eukaryota; Metazoa; Arthropoda; Insecta; Coleoptera
Description: tRNA-Val
Source: RNAcentral
CAAAUUAGAGCUAUUAGAGUAUUUUAUUUACAUUAAAAAGGUUAUUUAUUAAAAUAUGAUUUGA